Molecule: long non-coding RNA, 2537 nt
Organism: Antechinus flavipes (yellow-footed antechinus)
Lineage: Eukaryota; Metazoa; Chordata; Mammalia; Dasyuromorphia; Dasyuridae
Exons: 3
Source: RefSeq, a predicted model, not a curated record
GGUAUUUUUGCUAAUCCAGAAGAAACCAUAGGAACAAAAAGAAAGUCCCAGAAUCAGCCAAGUCCCAUCACAAUUUACAAAGAUUAUAGCUGCAUUUAUUGGCUAAAAAGCUUGCAACCUGGAACUGAGAGACAAUAACUCAGCUGCUCAAAGGGGAAUGGGAGUGAGGUAUUUAUGUCUAAGUGGGGGAGGGGAGCACAUUAAGUGAAGAACAAAAUAGGAGAUAUCAGAGAAGUAGGACUCCCGGGAGAAGACCUCUUCAAACAUAGCAAAUCAGAAACCAGAUAAUUUGGGGAAUUAAAUUGUCUGCUGCUCUUUCGAUAAGAUUGGCAGAUACUGUGAACCUUGGGGGGAAAAAGGUAGCUGGCUUCAAACCUAUCUAGUGUCACAAAGAAGAUAGCUCUUUAAGAAGAAUUGGGAUGAAGUACCAACAUGUUGUUUUGCUUGGGAACCAAGGUGUUGGCAAUUUCAGGAGUCCUGGAAGAAACAGAGUGGGAAAGACUUUACAGAUGAUUGAGACUGCAGUCUGGAGAUUGAGAACACCAGGUUUAAAUGACUUGUAGAGGAACCUCAACAAUGGACUGUUAAGGACAAUUUAUAACCUCUAAAAUUGACUUUGCAAUUAAGUUUUGAUGAGAGGGAAGAUUAUUUGUACUCAGAGGAAUUUUAACAAUAUUUAGGAGGAGGGAUGGAGCCAAGAUCAGAGCUCUCCCUGAUAUCCCUCAGAUCAACAGCAAAUCAAGACUCUGAGUUGAUUUUGGAGUGACAGAACCCACAAAUAUUUGGAGUAUAAUAAAUUUCCAGCAGAAAAUAUAUAUAUUUUAAACUUUUUAUUGAUAGAAUCCAUGCCAGGGUAAUUUUUUACAGCAUUAUCCCUUGCACUCACUUCUGUUCCAAUUUUUCCCCUCCCAACCUCCUCCCCCUCCCCCAGAUGGCAAGCAGUCCUUUACAUGUUAAAUAGGUUAUAGUAUAUCCUAGAUACAAUAUAUGUGUGCAGAACCAAACAGUUCUCUUGUUGCACAGGGAGAAUUGGAUUCAGAUGGUAUAAAUAACCUGGAAAGAAAAACAAAAAUGUAAGCAGUUUAUAUUCAUUUCCCCAUGUUCUUUCUUUGGGUGUAGCUGCUUCUGCCCAUCUUUGAUCAAUUGAAACUGAAUUAGCUCUCUUUAUCGAAGAGAUCCACUUCCAUCAGAAUACAUCCUCAAACAGUAUCGUUGUUGAGGUAUAUAAUGAUCUCCUGGUUCUGCUCAUUUCAUUUAGCAUCAGUUCAUGUAAAUCUCACCAGUCCUCUCUGUAUUCAUCCCAGCAGAAAAUAUUUUGGAAAGACUUUAGAAAAGGUCUGUUUCAAUCAAGCACAAAAGGAGGGGCUGAACGCAGGGAAGAAUAAGGGACCAGGGUGAUGUGGCAUCCUGCAAACCAAGUAAUAUAACUGGAGGAAUCCACAGCAGUGUUGGCUAUUCUGUCCUAAUUGCAAGCCAGUAAAUCAACGGAGUAGUUGCAAAACAUACAACAUAAAUACAAAAAGCCUCUGAACUCUAGAAUAAAGCAGGACCUGGCCAUGCCCAUUUAGCACUGGAAGUUAGCACUGAAAAUCAGCACCAACCCAGGACAACUACUGUGGCUUGUAGAGAAAGCUCUCCCCUUUUCCCUAAAAGCAGACCUCAAUCUUGGGGAAAAAAAUUGAACAAAAAAGCAAAAAGAACUCUGACCAUAGAUAGUAUUUAUGGAGAAAGAAAAGAAAAGAUUUCAAACCCUGAGGACACUAAAAGCAGAUCAUCUCGAGAUGAAGUUCAAAGGAUGAUAUGAAUUAGUCUCCAUCUCACAAGGCUCUCUUGGAAGAAUUCAAAAAGGAUCUUAAAAGAGAGAAGAAAAGUAGCGAAAGGCAAUGAGAAGUUUGCAAGAAGGUUUGGAAAAAGAAACAGAAAUUAUCUGAAGAAAGCUCCUUAAAAAUAAAUUUAGUGAAAUGGAAAAAGCAAAUAACUUCUUACAAAAUAGACUUGACAAAAUGGAAAAAAAAAAUAACUUCUUGAAAAACAAUAUUGAUGUUGUACCUGUUAUUUAUAUUUCUAGAAAAGUUUAUAGAGACUUCUUAAUUGGAGGAAGUUGAAUUAACAUUUUUUUAGGAUGAAGAAAUUAUUAAUGCUAAUUCUGAUAGGGUUCUUUAAAGUGAAAUUAGAACAGUAUAUUCUAUAUUCUAUAUGAGUUUUAAUUGGUUGCACUGAGUCAUUUUAAAACUGUUCCCAUUGUUUAGGGAGAUUCUGAGAACAGUGAUCUAUGUCUUUGUCCCUUUGAACAUGGUUAAUACUUGAACAUGUUUUGAUAUAGAUUGGUUAUUAAGUAUCUUAAAGUAAAAUUAUUUGUAUAAUGUUGAAUUUAAAAUAUAUCUACUUAGCUAUGAAGAUAAACUUCAUAAACUUCAGACUCAGGAAUAAUCAUGAAUGACGAAUCUCUUACUACUAUCAAUGAGAGUAAAUCAAUACUUAUUUAGGAUAUGUAAUCCUUGAGAGCUAAAUAAACAGGAAAACUUUGAGUAAUAAGA